This 478-nucleotide long non-coding RNA is filed under the name Citrus maxima (pomelo). Its description in RNAcentral is "long non-coding RNA (CMAX_LNC000398)". The record is from RNAcentral. Lineage: Eukaryota; Viridiplantae; Streptophyta; Magnoliopsida; Sapindales; Rutaceae.
GUUGGGUAUGGUUUACCCAUGGGUCAUGGAUAAAACCCCAACACUCAAAUUUUUCAAAUGAAAUAAAUGAAAACAAAAUAAAUGAACACAAAUAAGUGAAAGGCCACCAUUAAAUUUUUUACGGCGUGAUCAAUUGUCAACAGUUAGAAAAUGAAAAUAACAUGUAAAAAUAAAUUUAAAUUAAAUAAAUAUUGUUGUAAAUAACAUAAAUUUUUUUUCUUAUUUACAAAAAUAAUUCCUCCCACAUGGAAGGAUCAUCAUAGAAAGAGCAGGAAACUCUACUAGUGAUCAAUAAUAACUCGGCUUGGACUGGGUCCGAUAUGCUAGAUGGCGGCUAAUUUUUGGUCAAUAAUUGAAUGUAAUGCCCAUAUUAGGCCAUGUACAAAACUUUGCUUACCAUAUAAUGAAAUUAGAACAUAAAGCAUACACACUAUAUAAUAUCAGAAUGUAAAUAAAAUUAAGCAUAUAAGUAGACAAC